RNAcentral lists this ribosomal RNA (468 nucleotides) under uncultured bacterium. Its description in RNAcentral is "partial 16S ribosomal RNA". It matches the Rfam family "Bacterial small subunit ribosomal RNA", at positions 28 to 507 of the family's 1533-position model. The record is from RNAcentral.
GACGAACGCUGGCGGCGUGCUUAACACAUGCCAGUCGAACGGAAAGGCCCUGCUUUUGUGGGGAGCUCGAGUGGCGAACGGGUGAGUAACACGUGAGUAACCUGCCCUUGACUUUGGGAUAACUUCAGGAAACUGGGGCUAAUACCGGAUAGGAGCUCCUGCUGCAUGGUGGGGGUUGGAAAGUUUCGGCGGUUGGGGAUGGACUCGCGGCUUAUCAGCUUGUUGGUGGGGUAGUGGCUUACCAAGGCUUUGACGGGUAGCCGGCCUGAGAGGGUGACCGGCCACAUUGGGACUGAGAUACGGCCCAGACUCCUACGGGAGGCAGCAGUGGGGAAUAUUGCACAAUGGGCGGAAGCCUGAUGCAGCAACGCCGCGUGCGGGAUGACGGCCUUCGGGUUGUAAACCGCUUUCGCCUGUGACGAAGCGUGAGUGACGGUAAUGGGUAAAGAAGCACCGGCUAACUACGUG